UACGUAGGGUGCAAGCGUUAAUCGGAAUUACUGGGCGUAAAGCGUGCGCAGGCGGUGAUGUAAGACAGGUGUGAAAUCCCCGGGCUUAACCUGGGAACUGCAUUUGUGACUGCAUCGCUGGAGUGCGGCAGAGGGGGAUGGAAUUCCGCGUGUAGCAGUGAAAUGCGUAGAUAUGCGGAGGAACACCGAUGGCGAAGGCAAUCCCCUGGGCCUGCACUGACGCUCAUGCACGAAAGCGUGGGGAGCAAACAGGG
This 254-nucleotide ribosomal RNA is filed under the name uncultured bacterium. Its description in RNAcentral is "partial 16S ribosomal RNA". It matches the Rfam family "Bacterial small subunit ribosomal RNA", at positions 524 to 777 of the family's 1533-position model. The record is from RNAcentral.